RNAcentral lists this long non-coding RNA (3002 nucleotides) under Callithrix jacchus (white-tufted-ear marmoset). Its description in RNAcentral is "lncRNA (ENSCJAG00000077014.1)". Lineage: Eukaryota; Metazoa; Chordata; Mammalia; Primates; Cebidae. The record is from RNAcentral.
UCAUUUUCUAAGCUGCCUAAUCUUAAUUUCCUUCAUUGGAGAAAUGAAAGAAUAUUGGGAACCUAAUGGUGCUGGCAAGGAUAAAAUACCAUAAAGUGUAUAAAACACUUAGCCCAGCAGCACAGUGAGCAUUUAACAGAUGGUAACUCUUUAUGUCAAUUGAGUUAUAUUGGUUCAGUUGUAAUCAUUACAUUUUUUUUCUUUUUUAGAUUUGUUUAUAAAACUAGCCCCAUGCAGUAAGAACUUUAGCAAUGAAUGUAGAAUAGGAAAUUGACUCUCUAAAAUGACAAAUCCAAAGAAUAGAAUAUUUUAAGAGCUCUAUUAGGAAAUGUGAAAGGCCGAACUAAGAAAAGCAGAAUCUAGAAUCAAAUCCAAAGGGUGAAAUGCAAACCCAAAGGAGACACAAUGUCUGAUGUGAGUUAGCAAUGGCCUACCAGGCAUAUGGCAAUGAGCAAAGGUGGUCUGAAUCUAGCAAAUUCAGUCUAGCAGGUUCAUUUGCUACAAGUAGACCGGAAGGCAUUUGCUUUUUUCUCUUUUUUUAAAAUAAAAAUGUUCAUUGGACAUUAACUGCAUGGUAUAUGGGUAUAGUGGUCUGUUUUAAAAGUAGACACUAAAGAAUUUAAGUUUUAUUCUGUCACAGUUGAAAUGCACACAAAAGUAAAUCUUGAGCAAGAGAACUUGAGAUCAGAACUUUAGAAACAUUCAUCUGGCAAUAAGGUAUAAGCUCAAUGUAAGGCCAUGCUUCAUUAGUUAGAAGCAAUAAUUCAAGACAGAAGCUGUGAAAGCCUGACUUGGGGUAGUAAAUAUGGACAUGAAAAAGAAGAGAAAAUAAGGAAAUUCAUCUUAAAAGCAGAACUGGAAUAGAUUGGCAGCUGGUUGGAUAUUGUUUUUAUAAUCCUUAAGGAUACAAUCAAUAACUGUGGAACACUUUGCCUUUUGCAUGCUUUGCCUAACUGCUCUCCUCCUUGGUUGGAGUUCAAAACCCAAGAUCCUGCAGUGUUACACUAUGACCAGGGAAGUCCUCCAGCAAAGGGAUGAAGCCAAAGAUCAGAGCCAGCUGCCUGCAGUUGCCCAGCCACUUCCCAGAUGGUCGUGUUGCCUGGAGAUGGUGCCUUGAUAAAUGCAUGUUUAUUGUAGUAGUAUAAAUGUGGGCCCUGAACCACAGGCAAGUUUUGAUUUCCCUCAUUUCCAAAGUGACAAGAAAAUGUUUUCUGUGUCUCAAAUGAUGCUGCUGGUCCCCUGAGACUAGUUAGAGAGUGCAACUCUGGCUACUUAAAAUUUUCAUUUUUUGAAGUGUAACUGGAGGGUUCAGAAGAGACCACUUUAUAUAUUUAUUUAUUCAUACCUUCUGUCAUUUGUGAAAGCCAUCACCCAGUUCUGCCUAUUUUUAUUAGCUUAUGUGAACUGUGAAAUAGUUCAUGUUUCCUGGCUGAAUGGAAAAAUGAGAAUUUAAAUAAGCAAAUAAAUAAAGACUUUAUUUGUAUUGAAUUGAACUGUGAUUUAUCUUGGCCAUGAGCGAAAGACAAUUAUAUUCUAAAUCCUGGUUUUUAGUCACUUGUCUCAAACAAGUGACACCAAAUUCUACUCUAGCAGAAAGCCUCAACAGGCAAGUUAUAGCUUUAAAAACAAAGUCUGCUUAAAACCUAGAUAAUGCGUUGAUGGGUGCAGGAAACCACCAUGGCACAUGUACACCCAUGCAACAAACCUGCAUGUUCUUCACAUGUAUCCCAGAACCCAAAGUAAAACUUAAAAAUAAAUAAAUAAAAAUGCAACAACCAAACAUAUGGAUUCUUAUUUGAAAACACAGCUAUAUAAAGUCAUUUUGUGGAAAAUUAGGGAAAUGUGAAUAUUUGCUGGGUAUUAGCAGACAGUUGGUCAUGACUUGAUUUUCUUUUUCUUUUUCUUUUUUUUUAAUUAGCCAGGCAUGGUGGCAGCCACCAGUAAUCCCAGCCACUCGGGAGGCAGAGGCAGGUUUUAAGCAUCUCAUGCAUUAGAUAUUUGUCCUAAUGCUCUCCUUCCCCUUGCCCCCUCAUCCCCCUAUAGACCCUGGUGUGUGAUGAUCCCCUCCCUGUUUUCAUAGGUUCUCAUUGUUCGGCUCCCACUUAUGGGUGAGAGCAUGCGGUGUCUGGUUUUUGGUUCCUGUGUUAGUUUCCUGGGGAUGAUGGUUUCUGGCUUCAUCCAUGUCCCUGCAAAGGAUGUGAACUAAUUCUUUUCUAUGGCUGCAUGGUAUUCCAUGGUGUAUGUGUGGAAUAUUUUCUUUAUUCAGAUUGUCCUCUUUUUAACAACUUUCUUUUUUUGUGCUUAUUAUUGUUUUUAAUUUAAUUUUUUAUGCAUUAUGUUUAUACUCAUAUGCAGAUAAAAAUUUCCUGAAGGUAGGGAUAUAUUAUAUGCAUAUGUUUUGUUGAAAGACUUUUAAGGGUUUUUUUGCAGGAAACUUUCUUUCCCAAACAAAUCAAAUCCAAAUAUUUAAUAAUUGACUAAAAUUAGAAAACAACUUUCUUUAUAUACAUACAAUACAUCCAACUAUAGUACAUGAUUGCUGGUUUUCAUGAUCGUCACAGAGUCCUGCUCUUUUCACCUUAAACAGUCACACAUAAAAAAAAUUAUAUUGACAUUUUUCAAAGACCAGGCUGGUUGUCUUAUAGCCUGUCUACUUUUGGUAUUUGUCUGAUUAUUUCAUUCUGUGCUGUGGUUGAAAUUACAUUGGUUGAUUCUAUAUCAAUCAAUAAAAUGGAAGUUUGGUCCAAGGUUCGAUUGUUUAUAAUUAGGUUGAGUAGUUUGCUAAGGCUUCACAGGUAAUGAUCUGUGAUUCCCACUGUUGAGGCAGGAAAAUAAGGUCUGGAGGCAGAGAACAUAAGGCUGAUUUACCCACGUCAACUAUGAUGGGAAAUAUCCCCUCCAUAGGGCGUACACCAAGUACAUAGCUCUGUAACUUGACUUCAUCCUCUUCAUUUACAUAGGGUGUACACCAGCUAACCAAUGGAAAACUCUGGAGGGUAUUU